Molecule: ribosomal RNA, 253 nt
Filed under: uncultured bacterium
Lineage: Bacteria
Description: partial 16S ribosomal RNA
Rfam family: Bacterial small subunit ribosomal RNA
Source: RNAcentral
GACAGAGGGUGCAAACGUUGCUCGGAAUUACUGGGCGUAAAGCGCGUGUAGGCGGGCUUGUAAGUUGGACGUGAAAGCCCUGGGCUCAACCCAGGAAUUGCAUCCAAAACUACAAGUCUAGAGUGAUGGAGAGGGUAGCAGAAUUCCUGGUGUAGAGGUGAAAUUCGUAGAUAUCUGGAGGAACACCGGUGGCGAAGGCGGCAUCCUGGACCGGUAUUGACGCUGAGGCGCGAAAGCCAGGGGAGCAAACGGG